Molecule: non-coding RNA, 36 nt
Organism: Flavobacterium hercynium
Lineage: Bacteria; Pseudomonadati; Bacteroidota; Flavobacteriia; Flavobacteriales; Flavobacteriaceae
Source: Rfam
AUGGGGCUAAGCCGAAAACCCGAAAAAGAGUAGGCA